Long non-coding RNA from Phyllostomus discolor (pale spear-nosed bat), 1862 nucleotides. RefSeq lists it as uncharacterized. The record is from RefSeq and is a predicted model, not a curated record. The transcript has 2 exons. Lineage: Eukaryota; Metazoa; Chordata; Mammalia; Chiroptera; Phyllostomidae.
UAUGUUUCUGCAAGUCUUGCAUAUUCAGCCAUUGUUAAUUCCUGGACUGAAAUGUGUAUAUAAUUGUGAAUUCCCUUAAUUCUGUUAUUGUUCUGUGGUUCUUGUCAUCUCUGUCAGGAUUUUGCAGAUGUAGGUAAAACAUUAGCGAGUAUGAUCUGUUGGCACUUCUCCCCUAAUCAUUCUGAGCGUCUGUUUUUAUUUUUAAGGCACUGUACCUUGUAGUAAGUAACAUUUGCAUCUGCCACUUAGUGUCUAUAAAAUUGGUUUAGGCAAUGUGGCAAUGUUUACUCUUCCCUUCAGUAGACAACCAUUUCACAGUUGUGGACACACUGUGACAUGUGACAUAUGGACACACUGUCCAGUGUUAGAUUACUAUUAGCUGUAUCCAAAACUGGAGUCCUGACUGUCUCAAUACAAAAGCAGGAUGACUAAGAAGCAGAAAUAGAUGGAUUUUGAGUAAGUGUUGUUUGUGUGUCUAUUAAGAGACACUGAAGAGCAAUAUUUAAAAUGUCAUAUAUGUAAGAGAAAACUUAAUGUUUUCCUUGUGGUAAUUCUGCUGUAGUAUACUGCCUUUUGUUUCGAGUUCAUAAUUUGGGGAGAAGCGUUUUUUUGAUUUAUAUAUGUUAUACAGCUUAUAGAAUGGAAGAUAGAGCAGUUUUUCUUAUUAAGUAUUAUACAUUUUCAGUGGGUGUUAGAGGCAAUGAAUGUCUUAAAAUUUUUUGCUGGGUCGUAUUAGUUAUUUAAACAGGUGAACUUUAUAUACCUGCAUAUGAUACAGGGUUUCUUAUGCCUGCUGGCCUUCUGAUAAUUAUGGUAAUCUGUACAGGUUGUGUAUAUCAUUUGUUUUUAAAUGAUGCUAUAAGGGAGCCAAGAGAUUCCGAGAUAAUGACUGGGCUAGUUGAUCCUUAAUUCCACAGGAAGAAACAGACAAUAUAAGGUAAACAGAUGACUUCAUACUAUGAUAUGUGCUAUGAAGAAAAUAGUGAUCGCAGGGAGGUAGACAGGAAGUAGGAAGUGGUCAAGGGAAGGCUCUUUUGCAGGGUGUAACUUGUGAAUUGACACCUAAAGCAUGAGUGGUCAACCAUAUAAGGAAAGAAUUCUAUGGCUUAAAGUUGGGGGAAAAUACUAGACAACCAUUUUUCUAGAAAGAAUCCUUUUUUUGGUCUUUUUGUGCAGUCCUUAAAGAUACAUACUUUUAACCUGCUUUUUCAAGGUGCACUCACUUCAUAAUGAUUCAAUUUCAGUUCCUUGUACAGAAUUUUUAAAAAAUAUUUUUUUUCUUUCCAAGGCCCUUGAGUAGUCAUCAGUUUAACUGAGCUUUACAUUCCUUUCAUCUCGUAUAGGAAUCUCAUGUUUCUGUUAAACUGAUUUUACUCAUUACCCUCAGAACUUAUCAUCCUCUGCUUUCUGACUUAUCUGCUGUUGCCCAUAGUUUCUCUUGACUGAAGUUUAUUCUUAAGUACACAAUUAAAUCUCUUAUGUUAAAUAAUCUCUAUAGUCUCUCUUACUAUCUUAAUGUAGUUGAGAGUUUAAGUGUAUGAGACAUGAAGGCAUAGUGCAUACUUACUUGAAGAUUACUUCGCAUUCAUUUUUCACCUAUUCUUAGAUAGAGGAAUGCUAUGAGGCUUCCAAAAUUGAAAUCAACUACUUCUUGCUCCAUUGAAUAAAGUCAGAAGGUAAAAAUUACUUGGAGAGACCUAUAGGCAUGCCAGGACCUGUCUCUCUCUCUUUUCUGUAUAAUGUGUCUCUGAAACCAUUAGCAUGGGAAAGAAUAAUACUUGGUUUUUCAGCUACAUUGUGUAUUGCACACCCUUUGAAAAUAUAACUUGAUAACUUUUUCUAAAACUGCUUCUGUUAUUUUU